UAUAUACUCCCUCCGUCCGAAAAAGCUUGUCCCUUAAAUGAAUGUAUUUAGCACCAAGUUAGUGCUAGAUACAUCCAUUUGAGGGACAAACGAGGAACAAGCUUUUUCGGAAGGAGGGAGUAUAUG
Non-coding RNA from Triticum aestivum (bread wheat), 126 nucleotides. NCBI's taxonomy places the organism in Eukaryota, Viridiplantae, Streptophyta, Magnoliopsida, Poales, Poaceae. The record is from Rfam.